Molecule: long non-coding RNA, 522 nt
Organism: Mangifera indica (mango)
Lineage: Eukaryota; Viridiplantae; Streptophyta; Magnoliopsida; Sapindales; Anacardiaceae
Exons: 2
Source: RefSeq, a predicted model, not a curated record
AAUAGGAACUCUCCUUGGUAAUGUUAAUCUCCACCGUUCCUAUAGUGACAAUCUAACGGUGUAUACGAAUAACUUUUUUAAAAUAAACAGUUAAAACUCAAGUAUUUCUGAGUGGUUGAUUUUGACGUCAACAACUAAAAUCGACCAGGUUACAAAAUGGCCGGUGAACCUGCCUUGUUCAAAUUCCUCCAGCCAAGGCUUCGUCCUCAACCCGCAGACAUCCAAGCCGCCGCCUUAUGGGGUGUCGCUGCCACCACUACCGCUAUCUGGCUCAUCCAACCUUUCGAUUGGCUGAAAAGGACCUUUUUGGAGAAACCGAGUGAAGGGCAGUAAAGAUAGAAGCAUGGUGAAACUUUCUGAUUUUGUGUGUGAGGUUUUUUAUGAGAAAAAAACAUGAAAAGAAUUUCUUUGAAUGAUGGCUCAUCUCGUUUUGUUGAGGUCAUUUUGUAAUAAAUUUCUGGAAUAUUUGAUAGUGCGGACCAUAAAUUUGUGUUAAUGAGAAUUUUCAGUUUAUUCGCAGAA